This 30-nucleotide non-coding RNA is filed under the name Rattus norvegicus (Norway rat). Lineage: Eukaryota; Metazoa; Chordata; Mammalia; Rodentia; Muridae. The record is from RNAcentral.
UGAAUCUUUAAAUGGCUAGAAUUUUACGUA